Molecule: long non-coding RNA, 1469 nt
Filed under: Populus trichocarpa (black cottonwood)
Lineage: Eukaryota; Viridiplantae; Streptophyta; Magnoliopsida; Malpighiales; Salicaceae
Description: long non-coding RNA (PTRI_LNC000696)
Source: RNAcentral
UCAUUUCAAAGUCCACAAAGAAGAAAAACAUCAAGCUAUCAUUAUUAAUACAACCAUUAUUGAUACAACAGCUUUGAUGUGGAGAUUAAAAAUAAAAAAUCCGCUGCGUUGACAAUGUCAAAGGACCUUGAAAUCUGUGGAUUCCUUUUCUUUUUCUUUUUCAUUAAUAGAUAUUCUUAGAUCCAAGUUGUUCUCUAACUGGGUCCAUCGCAGGCCAUCUACCCACAACCACCAUGAGGGAGCAGGCUACUUUCAGCCGGAUAAGCCUCAAAGUAUAAGGCCAUCUAUAUUAACGACACUACCGGGCUGCUGCUAGCAUUGGCGAGCCUUCAACUCACACGACCAGCCCUCCAUAUUCCAAAAGAGUUGAGGGACUCGGAUGCUUUACUGAGAUGGCAACUGAUAGACAGAACUGACCGGGAAAGAGCAAGAGACCAAGAUUUAUUUGAUGUCUUCUCCACUGGGAAUUCAAUAAGAUUUCCAUAUCUAGCAUGUAGAAAAGACAUUUGUUUCAACCUUCUAGUUUUCUUUUUAAGUUGAUCGAGCAAACACGAUAUGUUUCUAAACAAAUGGGUCUUCUCGGAUUUGAAACAUCAGUAUUGCCUGAGUCACUUGCAUUCAUUUCAGGUGAUAACCAAUCCAGAGCAGAAGAGUGCCCAGCAGCAUUCCCUUGCUCUUGAUGGAAGGAUGGCUGCCAUUUCUAUUAACAUGAUCCUGGCAGUUUCGCAACAGCCAACAGGGAUAUGAUUUUUGAAGGACUCGCCAUUCUGUGAAGCAACAUCUGUUUUUUAAACUAGGUGAUCAAAAAGAAAGAAUCUAUUGUUAGAAACCCAUACAAGAAAAAGAGAAGGGUCCCUAGUUUCAAGCUUGUGCUAGUUGUCCAUUACACAUCCUUGCAUUACGGCAUUAUAAGAAAUGUGAGCUUCAUCCAUACCCAUUAGGGAUUUUGUUACCUCUGUCCCGUUGUUCUCUGAUUUUACAGAUUAGUUUUAGUUUUUUCGAUGAGGUCAAUAUGUGGUAGGUUCACGGGUUUAAAAUGAGGGACCAAACUGCUGAUAGGGAUUGACACAGCUCAUGCACUCCAUUAGCUUCUCACAAGUCAUUAAAAAUCGGGUCACGCUCCGUUCAAGAAUAUGUUAAAAUAACAUAGUGAUAGUCACGCACAGUAAUGACUAUAGGAGUACAAGUUGAGCAACAGCACCUUGCUUAAGAGAUAGGAAAGCUACUUCCACGAGUAAUGACAUGUUAGAACAAUAUAGCAAAAGGAAUCAUGAAACCUUUAGAAGAAAAUGACAAUACUUCAACAUUUAGUACUUGAAAGACAAUAUAUAAGCUAAGGGAUUGCCUAUGCAGUAUGUGAAUUGGAUCAGAGCAUGUGUGGCUAGUCCUUUCUCCAUUUCUAUUAAUGGCAAUUUGUGUAGGUAUUUGCUGGCUCUAAAGGGCUUCGGCAAGGAGAUCCUCUUUCCCCU